CGCGCGUGGGGCGGAAACGACACUAACAAUCCUUCGGGUGCGUUAAUGGGCGUCGAGCGGCGGACGGGUGAGUAAUGCCUAGGAAAUUGCCUUGAUGUGGGGGAUAACCAUUGGAAACGAUGGCUAAUACCGCAUAAUGCCUACGGGCCAAAGAGGGGGAUCUUCGGACCUCUCGCGUCAAGAUAUGCCUAGGUGGGAUUAGCUAGUUGGUGAGGUAAUGGCUCACCAAGGUGACGAUCCCUAGCUGGUCUGAGAGGAUGAUCAGCCACACUGGAACUGAGACACGGUCCAGACUCCUACGGGAGGCAGCAGUGGGGAAUAUUGCACAAUGGGCGAAAGCCUGAUGCAGCC
RNAcentral lists this ribosomal RNA (351 nucleotides) under uncultured Vibrio sp. Its description in RNAcentral is "bacterial SSU rRNA". It matches the Rfam family "Bacterial small subunit ribosomal RNA", at positions 34 to 393 of the family's 1533-position model. Lineage: Bacteria; Pseudomonadati; Pseudomonadota; Gammaproteobacteria; Vibrionales; Vibrionaceae. The record is from RNAcentral.